CGCACACAGGAGGGACCGGCCCGCCCGGGUCCGCUCCAUCCCUGUUCCGCAACCACCGGGAUGUGCCGGGUGAGGAACCGCUGUGGCCCGUACGGUGUGUCCUUCCUCCUUUGUUUCUUCGUUUCGGCUGAAGAAAGCGAAGGGGAAAGAAGGGGUAAUCAGAAUAAGAGACAAGGGACAGGAGGAUGCCAUCAGCACACCCACAGUGAUCACACACUGCCGUCUCCUCACCACACUGCAUAAGCACCACCAGUAUUUUUUGCAAAGUGAGGUUAUAUUUUUGGUUAUUAUACUUCUGCAUGACCUCAGUGAAGUGACCUCCGUGCUGUGCUUCAGCUGUGAAAUGAGCAGGAAUAAAGCUAAAAUGGUUUCA
Strigops habroptila (Kakapo) is the source of this 373-nucleotide long non-coding RNA. RefSeq lists it as uncharacterized. NCBI's taxonomy places the organism in Eukaryota, Metazoa, Chordata, Aves, Psittaciformes, Psittacidae. The transcript has 2 exons. The record is from RefSeq and is a predicted model, not a curated record.